This is a long non-coding RNA of Daphnia carinata, 432 nucleotides long. RefSeq lists it as uncharacterized. The record is from RefSeq and is a predicted model, not a curated record. NCBI's taxonomy places the organism in Eukaryota, Metazoa, Arthropoda, Branchiopoda, Diplostraca, Daphniidae. The transcript is spliced from 3 exons.
GGCCAACGACCGCAGUAAGAUAUGUCCAUAGUUGUUAUCACAAUCAUCGUUCUCGUGUUAAUAGGAAUAGUUCGACAAUUCUCAACGUCCGGAUAAAAGAUUUUAAAAUAUUGUCAUGCGCAUUACCUGUUUCUCCACCAUUCUUCUCAUCCUACAGUACAUCCAAAUGUUAUUACUGGUGAGAUGUUUGCCUCCCUGGCAGACAUGGAGAGCCUUAUAUCAACUGAAAUGGAGCUCGCAAGGCAUCUUGAAAAUUACAUUCAAGAAGAAGAAAUUAGACUUAAACAACUAAGAGGAUUCCUGGAAAAAUAUGAAACCAUGUAUCAAGAAGCAAGUGAAGACGUGUCUAAGUAUUUGGCUAAUCCAGUCAAUGCUUACUUACUAGUCAAACGCCUCACCUCUGAUUGGAGGCAGGUCGAAGGAGUUAUGGUG